UUGCCCCCAAAUAUCCCAUUUCCAACAACACCAAUUCAAUACACCUACACCAAUCACACUUCUUUUUCCUUUUCAUUUCACUGCAAUAAAUUCACCCACCAUAGUUACUCCUUUUCAUUUUUGCACUGAAUUCACUUUCCUACUCUUCGAUUUAGAGCUUUCAAUCAAAAUUGAUCUAAGCAUAAAUACCCAUCUCCGAAUAGAUCUGCUUGUUUAUCGCCUCUUGCUUUCGUCUCUUGUCACCAGAAAAAACUAUUCCUCAUAGUCCAAAGCUUAACAACGGAGGUUUCUUGAGGUUUGAGUUCUUUUAAAAGCUAUAUUUAAAACCAUUUUUUUAGUUUUAUGUUGAUUCUUCUUAAAGAUCCCAAUUUAUUUUUUCAAGCAUUUGAUUUUUUUUAGUAUUCAUGAUAGAUUCCUUUUUUUAAUCUUUAGCAGUCGAAAAAGGGGUGACGGUGUAUAUGAGGCUCAAAGGAAGUAAACAAGUCAUCCCAUUUGAAGCUAAGCACUUUUCAUCUUUUGUAGGAAAAUCCCCUUCUCUAGUCUUGGGAAAUUGAGCGACCCAUCCACAUAAGCACAAGAAUUUUUCCCGCGCAAAUCAUUCUUCAUCGCAUAAGCCCAUGACAAGUCAUUUCCAGAUGCUUCUUUCGGAAGAGCACGGGAAAGCCUCAAUUUGGUGGGAUCAAGUCCAAGCAAGGCGUGAGCGGAAAGGCAAAGGGAAAUACAUGGGACAAGAUGCGAUCGAGGUUGCAGGAUUAAUUUCUACCCGAACAUUAGACCCAAAGCUUGUUCCAAAGGUUUCACUUCGCUUUAAAGGAUAGGAGGGAGAGAAGCGUACAAGAAAGCCCCUACUCCUUAAAAAAAAGUAGCAGAGUUCUACCAAUUGUUUAUUUGCAAUGGCUUGAACGAAUCCGACGCAGAAUCCCUUGCUUGCUUGAUAGGGCUUGAGGUUAUAAAUCCAAGAUGAAAUCUCGAUGCAUCAGAUGUGGAAAGUGGCCUAUCAACUAGCUCUAAAGGCCGAGGAAAAGCUAAAGAGAAGGACCACAAGGGGCCCGGGGCUGGCUUUUUGGGAAGCCCGUUCCCACCGCGCUCACGGCCCGGCUGGCCUGCCAGCGGUAGUGGGAAUUCCCCCGUUCCCUGGUCAAAGACUUGGUCGGAUGCGGGAUCUACUCCACGAGGAGUGGUACGGACGUAGAUGAUAUCAUCACGACCUCUCUUUUCGUACCGCUAGGGAUGCUUAACACCACUUCGCCAAUUGGCAUUACCUGCGCUUUCGUGUCUCUCAGUGUGGUCAGCACUGGGUGUUUCCGAGCAGCGAGGCUUACACCCAUCCGCAUUAGUUCAUCCAAAGUUCCUUACCCUUAUGCACGAAUUAUUGAAUAAGCCAUCUUCCUAUCAAGGUUAAGGAGUCAACUGAGCAUCUCAGCGGCGGGAUUCAAUACCCGAAUCGAAUCAGAGUUCACGUCGCCCGCCCUGAACAAAUAGGAGGCGUGGGCCACAGGUCGCACAUAAGCCGCCGGGUCGCACGAUAGAAGAACACCCAACAUACAGAUGCACACUCCUCCAUGUGAAAUAUUCAUCUUCAUUGGAGCUUUUUGGUAGUAGUCGUGACCAACAGCCAUAGCCAUCAGCUGUCGGCUCGUUGGUAAGGCAAGAGCUUCAAGCCCAAUUUCUGGUGGCAUAUCCCCUACACAAGCACCACCCGACGAAGGGGGGACGGGGAAAGCUACAGGCCCAAAACCUUCGACCCUUCUUUCUAAAUGGGGGUGCCAGGAGCACCUCAUCUUGUCAUUUCGUCGUUGCUCAUUCCCGUUAGGCCGAAGUGUUUGGCGUUUCCUUCUCCGCGCCCGUUCAUGCUUCGCUGACCUAUCGCGUGGUAAAAAGAAGAAAGUACGAAAGAAUUGUAAAUGGAGCACACCGCAGAAAGAUUCUAAAUAUGAGAAGUCCCCCUUGGAUUCGAGAAGAAGAAAAUGAAGAACAGGAACGAAACGAAAUAAGGCGUUUCUAGCUCUAGUAUCGGAUGAGCUUCUCCCAAUUAUGUCUGGUAAUAGAAUAGGGCGGCUUGCUCUGACCAAGACUCCAGUUUUUGCUCUGUCCAUGGAGCGUAUGAAUUUCCUGGAAUGUAGAUAGACCAAAAGAGGGAAUGAAGAGAUAGGAAUAGGAAUUAUAGUACCAUUGGAAAAAGGGGCACCCGUGGAAACAUCUCUACUGACGAACCGUUUCAAUAGUAUGGGUGCUGCCGUGCCACGAGGCACGACCAUAAAAAUAAUAAAAAAGAAAAAGUUAUGUAGUUGGACCAUCAGCUCUAUCCGUUCGAGUUUCACUUCUCUAAAGAAGAUAAGACGCUAAAACUGAAAGUGUUCGCAAUGCAUACCGAAAGGAUACCAAUGAAGCCGACCAUUAAUGACUAGUUCGAACACCAGGAGCGGUCUGAUCCCUUAUUUGAUCAGAUAGACUGCUCUUAGAAACAUAAAACAAAAGUAAACUCUCAUAGUUCGAAGCCCAGCUUCAACUACUUCUUCUUAAGUGAGGUUUCUUAUAGUUGAAAAUUCCUUCUCGGGGUCUUCCUUUGUACUCCUAAUGGUAGUGCGCAUCUCAAACUAUGAGGGGCCUUUGAAGCCCGCACCACAAACUGCUACAGCAUAAACAUAGGCUGGUAGUAUGAAUUGUCCCAAACUGCAUAAAAGCUUAUGUCUUCAUAUAGGAAGAACCUCCCAAUAGCUCUCCUAGCCGCUGCAUGCAACCUCUGUGAAAAUACUGAUUUCAUCGAGGGUUGUACUACUGUUUUCUUCAAAAGAAGGAAAAAAGAGACUCAACUUCUUUUUCUCGUAGCGCCUGAUGCAGAGAGACCGCUCCGCAAAGAUUCCCCAAUACCACUAUCAUCAAAAUCCUCCGUACGACAGCCCUGCCCUCUCUAGGCUAGGCUCCUCUGUUACAUCAACUAGAUCCACUCCCACCGAAAAGAAAUUCCUUUUUUUGGCCAAUCCUAAUUUCAAAUAAAGCACUCUUCCUCAUUUGUUUCUCUUUUAUUGCCUUCUUUAUUAGUGAAGGGGAUCCUCGAGAAAGCUCUUUGGCCAAUUCUGUAGAAUUUUGGCAUAUGGCGAUGUUAUUUCCAGCCAAACAUGCCAAGUGGAAUUUCAAUCUUAUUUUCCAUUUUUCUCGCCUGAGUACUUGUUGCCGCAGAGCUUGCAUUGGACAUUUGAUCUAUCAAAUUUGGUGGCAAACUGCCAACAAAGGUCUGUUGGGUUUCUACUCAGUUGAUUUGGCUGUCUUAUUAGUUGCUGUCUUGAAUUGGUUGGGAGACACAAAGGGGCUGCUCCAAAAGAGAUGUUACAAACAUGGUAUCAGAGCCUUGAUUCUGCCAGCCGUGGGUGUGGGAAGAGGUGUCCUUUAGAUACAUGCCAACUGUUUGACAAAAGGCGCUUUCAAUAUCAGUGAAUUGGUGCUUCAAUAUGGAAUUUGGUCAAACCAGCGGUUAAACGGUUUUUGAAAAAGUGUCAUAGAGUUUCAGCUAGAUUGAGACUAAAAGAGCUGUUAGCUAAGCCUUCGAUCUUCUUUGCUUCUCCUUCUCUGUAUAGGAUCGAUAAGUCAUAUCAGUUUUCCUAUUUAAUCUUUUCGGCUGGUUUUCUAAACACAUUUCCAAGGGUCCUUAGCAUUCGUAAUUCUUAUCUAAGAAACUAGAAAGAGAGAGGUUAGUUAAAUAAGCAUAAAAAUAAGAGUAAGGGGGCCCCGGGGGAGCAUGGUUUGGCCAUAGACGCGGGAUUAGGAUACCACUAUUUGACGAAUCCUGUUUCCCAGCUCUCAGUCCUGUUCCCUUUCACGGAACACUUUAUAGAUAGGCUUUUUUCUCCGAUUGCAGCUUACUAUUAUAAUGAGUAAUUCAAAAUUCUCUCGACAGGUUUGAGAGCGCAGGGGGAGACCAGAGGUUUGGAACCCUGAGCCUAAGGCCUUCAAUGGUGCUCAGAGUUCCAAGGAAGGCCUUAGGCCAACGUGUUCGAUGUCUAACAGUUUUUUAGAGUGGCUCAUAUACCGGAAGCAGAUAAAGUUAGCAUUACUUCCAUGUAUCUUGUGGGUGAUGAAAAAACUAUGGUGGAAACCCAGAGUUGAGGAUUCUUCACGCCAACCUAUCACCGAUUGGCCAGAGAUGAAACAAGAGCUGAGAAAGAUGUUUUUGCCGUGUAAUGUCCAAUGGCUAGCAAGAGACUGAUUAAGGCGUUUGAGGCAAACAAACGGGUUCAGUUAGAGAGUAAGUAUAUGAAGAGCUUCCAAUCUCUGAUGCUCGAAGUGGGUAGUAUAAGUGAGGAAGAAAAGCUUUACAACUUUAUGCUGGAUUUCAGUUGUAGGUUCAGAACGCACUGAGGAGGGAGAAAGUGAAUAACCUCGCUUCAGCUAUCACGGUAGCAGAGAGUUUAAUGGACUUCAAAGAAAGUUCAGAUGGGGCAGACAAGAACAAAAACUCUAAAGGCAAGAAGAAGUUCAGUGGGAAGAACGAUCAUGAAGCAUCAACAUCCAAAACAAAUGUUGACAACAAGGGCAAAGGCAAAGCGCUGGAUCCCGAUCUUGAUUUCCCGAGCUCUUGGUCCUCGGUCCUACUUCUUCGGUUAGGCAAGCUUGACUCUUAAGAGACUGACUUGGGCAUAGAAUCUCAUUCCCACUAGAUCCACUGAAGCUAUAUUGGCAUAUCUCUUCGAAUUUUAACCUUCCCUACCGGUGAAAGCCCGCAAGCCUUUUUUAGUUAAUGGACGGCUUCGAAAAGAGAAUUGUUUGAUCCCGCCCAGGGGCUAAAGCUCAUCGGCCCAUUUCCACUAAUAGACAAGCCACAAUUAGAAAGUUUUUAAUUCUCUUAUACCAGAGAAACUAAUCAAAAAUAGGCUUUUUCAAAGCUCGUCCUAACCUAAAAACACGGGGUUGAGUCAAAUGUAUUAUUUAUUUUUUCUAAAGUCUUCCCUUCCAUAAAUAAGGUUUAUGCCCUAAAACAGGCUAUUUCAUCGUAACUCUAUUAAGGGCUCCUACCCACUGAUCCAUUCCCAUCCCAGUCUACUUGAUUUGAGAAAGAAUUAGAGCCGAAAGGACCAGAUCUCUCAUACAUGGGUUACCCGCGUAUCCUCGUAGAUUCUCCUCGUUCAUAGAUAGGUGAGAACAAAGAUUGGUCUCAGUUAGGAAAAGUUCUUCAAUAAUCUAUUCGCGAAAGACUUGAGUCACUGGUACCCAAACCCGUACCCAACGGCAUCAGGUAAUUAGAUCCUCAGAACCGAAAGUCAAAGACUCACUCCUACAUCUCAAACUCUCAAAGGACGUUAUUCUGAUUGGCCCAUUUCGCCCCAAAGAGACCUUCCCAACCAGCCAUCCCCUAGCUUGAAGGAGGAUUGAUGAACCACCUGGGGGAACCAUUCCUCAAGAAAAACCAUCAAUGAUGACGACUCCCGUCCGAGGCAAGAAAAGAAUUGGGCGGAAGGUCCCAUCCCUGGAUACCAGGUACAUGGCAACAAGGAAAGCGGCUAAUUGGCUCCACCUCUGAAGGCGCACCAUCUUUGGUACCAUGAUUUUCGUUGUUGAAAUACCGCUUAAAGCAUUCUAGAUGCAAAAAAAAAGAAGAGAAAAUGGUUUGGCUUACCACAUGCGAAUUGAAUAAGCUUAUUUCAUUCAUUUCCCUUACCAGCUUUAGUAGCAUAGAUAGGGCCUUCUAGGCAUGAAAUAGGGGAACUCCACUUCUAAGGUAUCAGCCUCAGAUUUUGUUAGUGAGAUAAAGAUCCUGUUGUGGAAAUUCCCAACUGGAUUAAUCUUUUGAUUCGAUGUAGCACAGGAUGGAGUGGGGAAUUCAGUUGACAAGGCCGCCGACCGGCAACUACCUGGGAAAGAAGCUUAGCAAGGAUCUAUUUUAGCAUUUCGGAUCGGACCAUCUGCUUAGUAGUCUUGAACCCCUUUCUAUGAAAGAAGGGACAACGGGGUAGAAGGUAGUGGGCAUGUUCACUCGGUCGAUAGAGACCAGAGGAGCCUAGAGAAUCCGAGGCCUCGGUCUUAUCCCUCUUUCUUACAUUCUUCUUUUGAACCUCCAAUCCAAUCAAUCAACUUGUCUACUUGCUUAUCGGCAUUCGUUGCCACUUGGGCAGAGCUGUUUACCUCUUCUUCGACUCGAAAUGAGAUCCCAUUUACUGGUUCAAGAAAAACUCGAAAGGAAUCCACUCUCACCUCUAACUCUGGGUCUCCCCCGAUUAAGGAGAGACUCCAACUCCUAUUCUGCUCCUUCCUGAGCCCACAUCUCCAUGUCCUAUCGAUGCUGAUCUCUCCCCUAGCGAGGAACCGGAACCAACUAAUGGAUCCAUGGAACCUCUUAGCUCGGAACCCCAUAUAUUGCAUCUCCAACUACAGGUAAGAAGCUCCAUCCGAGGGAAGAUAAGCCAUCUCCGAGACCAUUCCUGCGAAUAAACUAAUCCCUUUCAAAACCUCUUAUCGAGACCCCAUCUCCUGCUAAUUAUUCAUCUGGUGGCGAAGGGCGACUCCACCUGCUAAGCAGGAACUACCAAGCUUUCUAUUCCCUUACAGCAAGCAAGCAUUCCAUCUUACAGUAAUCCCGUCCUUCUUCUACUUGAAAAAUUCCUCCCGAAGACCCUAUUGGUUUGUAAUCGAUUCUUUAUCAAUGGGCCACCCUUUCUUUGAACCUUGUCAAUGAUCGAACUUAAAGAUAUGAACUGAGUGCCAUUUGAUGAGUAACUGAGAACAAAGGAGAGGGAUAUAGAAAGGAUGAAGUAAUGAAAGAGGAAGUCAUUGCUAGUAGUAACGACUUGUUACGAUCCAUUGGUUCAUAUAGAAUCCAUGUCCUAGGUGUAUCAAAAAACAUUCUUUUCGCUAAGCGUAUAUAAUAAAAUAGAGUGAAAGGGUCCACCCCGAAACCAAUGGGGUACUAACUAACAGCUGAGUCCUCUCCGAACCGCAGGAGAUAGUUGCCCAUCAUACAGCUCACCAACUUCACUUGCCUCUAUGGGAGGCUCGCUCCGGGCAGGUUCGGAUCACUUACAAUACACAGCUCUACGAAGGAAGGGGUUGGGUUAGGAACGUUUUCAAUAUGAUUCUUUUUCCAUAUUUGUUCGAUCUCUUCCAUCUCUGCCCCGCGUUGUCACCUAUGUUGAAGAAAGGUUUGGAACCCUGUAGAGAAUGAAGAGGAGCCAAGGAUCUUCCUCUCAACAGUGCUUCUCGAGGCUCCACUCUCCCCCUGAAUAAGUAAGGCCCCGUUAGCCUGGGCGAAGAUGGGGAUAAGGAAUAAGGAUUGAAGCCCCCUUAGCUCUGCCAGGCACUGGACAGGGGUUAGCUCGGUAAAUGUGUAGAGCCAAGUGUAGUGUGGUGUAGUAGUAGGCACUUCUAGGCCCCUUCCCGACUACUGGAUCACUCCAGCGCUUUGGGUACUACGGACCCUCUGCCAUCCAUUGCAUUGCAGCAGAGUCGUUUCAUGAGCGGGGGGGCUAAGCGCAGUUCUUUGAAUCAAACAUUGAAUGAAAUCGAUUCUUUUUUAGAUAUCAAAAUCGAAAUCGGAUAGGAUAGAUGGAUGGAUCUAUCUUUCUAUUUAUAUAGUUAAGUAGCGUAGCAAAAAGCCCCAAAUCCUUGAUUUGGCCAGGAAAGACUGCACUGUUUUGGGCCCAGGAAGCAAAGGGAAUGAGCUCGGCUGCUUCUCCUCCACACUUAUUUUUUUCCGUGCCCGCUCCGCAUGCGCUUCGCGCGCCAUUGGCGCUUUGCUCUCCUCUUAUUCUUCAUUUGACGAUUCGGAUGGACUUCGCCGUUCUUUCCCAACUAAAAUAGAAAAGGCUGUAUCACAUCGAGAUGUCGAUUCGUUUUUCGCCCCCAAUAAGAUGGGGAAUUUUGAACCCCCUAUUUAUACUUUUAGGCCAUUCAUCUUUCUGAAUCGAGGCCCGGCCCGGCUCGCGUCGUUCCAACAACCGGCGGGGAGCACCUCAGUAUACGAUCGCGCGCAGUAACUGGGAGUCCUAUUACACCUAAGGCCAACUUCAAUUCACCAAACCAAGGUUCAUCUCGUGUAGUGAUUGUGGACUCAAACAAGGAUAUUAAGUAGACCGUUGAUGUAUCAGACUCGACCCUAUCUUUCAUAGCAUGCAUUCCCAUCUGUGUCGCAACUGAUUCGGUAAGCUACGUGUCCGGUGCACGGAGAACGCCCUUCGGCCCCCCAAACUGACUUACUCGUGGCAACCUUCCGGCCGCCCAACAACCUAUAACGCUAGUCACUACUCCCACUGGGGCUAGGAAGUAAGCCCCACAACCCAAAGCAGCGAAGAAUAAAUAGAAUUUGCUUCAAAAGCCGGCUAACGGAGGUAUUCCUGCGUAUGAGAACAUAGUAAUGGAGAAGGUAAUAGCUGAAAUAGGAUUCGUUUUGGCUAGAGCGCCCAAAUCCACUAUAUAUUUGACACGGGUUUGCCGUAAUGCUGAAACUAUGGCGAAUGCAUCUAUCAUCAUUAAUGCAUAAAUAAAGAUACCAAUUAGUAGUGAUUGAAUUCCUUCUAUGGUUCCACAUGAGAAACCAGUACGAAUAUAACCUACAUGUCCAAUUGAACUAUGAGCUAGAGGUCUUUUUACUUUCGUUUGGGCCAUGGCGGCCAAUGCUCCUAAGAUCAUAGAAGCAAUGCUGCAAAAAAAGAAGAUUUGUUGCAAUGUAGCUCCAUAUGAACCAUAAAUAGAAACACGUGAAAUAUUAGCAGAAAUAGAAAUUUUAGGCGCAAUAGAAAGGAAUGCUGUAACCGGGGUGGGUGAACCCUCAUAGAUAUCAGGUGCCCACAUAUAUAGAGUCAAAAGAGAUAUGGAGUCCGAAGGGGAGGGGGUUUUUCUUCGGGGCUCGAGAGAUGGAAUAGAUAGGGCCCCACAAGUUUUUAAUUCACCGUUGGGGAAUUCACACGAAAGGGAACGAGGAAUUCUCAACGAAAAAAGUGCUCUCUGAACCGAACGUGAAAGUUGUUUUCCAUCAGACGGCUGUUCCCGUAACUCCACUCUCGACUUGGAUUAUAUAUCCAAAAAGGUCCGUUCUUGGCCAUUCCACACGCUGCCUAGCAGAGGCAUGGUUAUCUGAAGUGGAUUCUCUCUUUUCUAGUAGAUGCCGAACCUGCUGCCCCAUUGAUUAUGAAGAAGGGCGGGCGCAGCAGUUACAUGGACCCCUUCCUUUCCGUUAUUGCUAGCGCUUUCCCGGGCCGAGCCGGAAUUUUUUAUUAUAAAGGGCAGGCAAAGCCCGAAGGCUGCUAUCCCAAUAGGCCAGCGGGCGGAACGAGGAGAGGCCCCGGUAAUCAUACCACCGUGGUCGAAAAAGUAUGUUCCCUUCAGAUAACACGCACCGUAGGCCAUCCUCGGCCUUCUUCGUUUUUGAUGAAAAACAAAUAAAAUCUCUCGAUCUCUGAAAGCGUUUUCCUCCCCCCGCCGCAUCCCCCUCUCUUCGUCGAGCCUUUCCUUUAAUGGUUGGGGGAAGCAUUCCCUUAUCUGAACUUGGCGGGCAUUCUUUCCAGCCUUAUUCAAAUAGGGGGAUGGGUUUGGUUUGAACUUUGAACAUAGGCUCAAACAUGAUUUGAAGGUCCUAGCUACGCCAUGCGUUCAAUAUAAAGGAAAGCUGCAGAGAUGACAAAAAGAGGGCGCUUUCCUAUGUUGCACUGAAAAAAUGAAAUAAGGACAACGGAUAAGAACGUCUUCUCUUAGGUUUCUUCCUCCCACACCCGCCGCCGCCCGGCCCGCGUUAGAGGGGAAGAUUAGCAAAGCGAGAAAAGACAGAGGGAAGGAGAGCAGCAUUUUAUUCUCUUUGCGAGAACUUCCGGAUCGGAGAAGCAUUCGGAACGGGCUCCGCGUUCAUUUCGUUGGCGGAAAUGAUCCAAUCCAUUCGGGGCUUCGGGGAACCCAAAAACGAAGUCUUUCGACUUGAUUCAUAGAUAGAAUCAAUGAUAAAUAGACAAAAGAUAGAUGAACGAGANNNNNNNNNNNNNNNNNNNNNNNNNNNNNNNNNNNNNNNNNNNNNNNNNNNNNNNNNNNNNNNNNNNNNNNNNNNNNNNNNNNNNNNNNNNNNNNNNNNNNNNNNNNNNNNNNNNNNNNNNNNNNNNNNNNNNNNNNNNNNNNNNNNNNNNNNNNNNNNNNNNNNNNNNNNNNNNNNNNNNNNNNNNNNNNNNNNNNNNNNNNNNNNNNNNNNNNNNNNNNNNNNNNNNNNNNNNNNNNNNNNNNNNNNNNNNNNNNNNNNNNNNNNNNNNNNNNNNNNNNNNNNNNNNNNNNNNNNNNNNNNNNNNNNNNNNNNNNNNNNNNNNNNNNNNNNNNNNNNNNNNNNNNNNNNNNNNNNNNNNNNNNNNNNNNNNNNNNNNNNNNNNNNNNNNNNNNNNNNNNNNNNNNNNNNNNNNNNNNNNNNNNNNNNNNNNNNNNNNNNNNNNNNNNNNNNNNNNNNNNNNNNNNNNNNNNNNNNNNNNNNNNNNNNNNNNNNNNNNNCCAGAGAGAGAAGGUUUCCUUUUGGAGCCUCCAUGGAUACGAAGUCUAACGCACUCAAGAGAAGUUCCCGAUAAGGUAAGUCAGUCAAAGGCCUUUCGAGUUGUUGUAGCAAUUGAACUCUUCAAGCAAUGAUCUUAUUUAUUCAACCGCUUGCUGAGCUGCUUGUUUAGUUGCUAUAGCCGAAUGACCUUCCAUCACAUCAACUAUAAGAAGAAGAGUUUCGGAAGAAUACGCUUCAGGGACAAAUUUAUCUUCUAUCCCUUCCUGACUCUGCUGACAUCCCGCCUUAAUCUUUCUUAGGGUUGAAAGAAUCAAUGAGAUGCCCUUGUUCUCUCCUAUCCUUUUUCUAUACAUAUAGUAGCGCCUGCUGGCCAGUCAUAGAUAGUAGUAACUUAUUGAAUUCUGGCUUCCUCUCUUUUUGAGAGAUCAGGUUCAAACUACUAAAGCUCGUAGGAAGAGUCAAAGUUCGUAAAAAAUGUUAGAAUAGCGCCUUCCUGAGAGGCUUGACAGAGAAUCUUUCUUCUUGAAAGAUAUCUUCAUUCUAUGCUUUCUUCGUUCCUAGCCAUUCUUCUAUUCUAUACCAAAGGGAAUCAGAAUAGCUAUUAUCCCUGAUUCAUCUAAAGGCUCAGCGGAUCCGAAUCACUUGGAAUUUGCACUGAAACAGAUCUCUCCUAAUUGGCCCUCCAACCCUUAGGAGGCUGGGCCUGCAAUUAGAUAGGCUGCUCACUUUAAGACUGAAGACUGAAUGGAAAGGCUAGACAUAAAAAGAGGGCACUCCCACUGGGGUAGCUUGUAUGGCCCGACCGCAAAUAUUGAUACAACUCCAUCGAAAUGAAACUGAAACUUUUUCGCUAUCGAAAGAGAGUCCAACCCAACUGCUGGAACUCCAGCUCCCCGAGCCCCAGGACUGCUAUGGACUUCAUAAAUUAAUGGGUUAUUAAGGAAGACACCACAUGCCCCAACCACCCGAUUCAGAAAAAAUGGACAUUUCUCGAGCUUUGCGUACAACUUUUCCCUCCUCCUUAUUUCGAGAAUAGACGAGGAUGUAAUCAAUGAAUACGACCAAGAACUUAUCCAGUAAGGGUGAUCAAGGUAGGAUUAGCAACCUUCCUUAGGGCAUUCAAGUUCGACAUGCUACCUUCUCUAUGUAUCGAUUCUUGGUAGACAAAGGUGGUUUAGAUCGAGACGCACCCUUUCCCUUUCUCCUUCCGAAUGCGGCCUCAGGCCUAAAGCUUUCUCAAUCUCAGCAGUGGGCAUCCACCUUUUGGCUUAGCUUAGUCAGUUCCCUUCCCUAUGGUUGUUGAAUAAGAAGAGCUUAUAAAAGGAGUUGGUCAACAAGACCGAGGAAUUAGAACUAGUAUCCACUCAUUACACAGAAGAAAGAGUAACGCUUGAAGUUCAAUCUCCCCACAUUCUAUCUCCAUCUGGGCUAUUGACGGCUACCAACCCCCGCUCUAUCUCUUCUGAGUCAUCAGGAGUGACCUGAACUUCGGUGUCCAGAGGAUCCAUCUCUUCGACGGGUAUAAAGGCUGGUUGCAGUGCUCCAAACCUUAUCCAUGUUGGUAGUCGCUUGUCUUAUGAGUGAAUCUCGAUCUAUAUCUAUGGCCUAUUUGAUUGAAGCUGAAGGCCUGUUCAAAAGAUCAGAUAGGCGGAUGGAAGCAAGAAAACGGCUGGAUUGGCUGGCUAGCUCGUGCAAUAAAAGUCCUUCGCCUUAGAAAGCUAGCUUUCUAAGCCCGGGUAGGACGUGGAUCGAUCAUCACGAAAAUGGACUUCUCCGUAAUGUAAUAGAAUAGUCACAGUCCCUUCUCGACCAGACGAAGGAGAUAUGAAUUCCAUUCUGGCUUGGCCCUCCUGUAGGCGCAAAGUUCAUCAUUCAGUGUGGUGGGGGGCCUCGCCUGGCAGAUUUGGAUGACUUGGAUGCUGGGGAGAUCUGGAUAGAGUCUUGCUCAUAGAUAGAAGAAGAGUACAGCUUAGACAGUUGAUCGGAUCAAAUAGCCCUUCGGGCAACCAACCGCACAAACAAUUCCGAUCAAGAACUUGGAGGGAUGGCUGAGUGGCUUAAGGCAUUGGUUUGCUAAAUCGACAUACAAUAAAAUUGUAUCAUGGGUUCGAAUCCCAUUUCCUCCAGCAGAACGGGCGGGCGUGAGAGAAAGUUGAAGGAAAAUUAUGGGAUCUCAUGUUCUUUUGGGUAACUCUUGGUUUUAGUGAUAUGGUGAGUUUAGUGUAUUUUUUUCAAAAUCUCAGUUUUAAGUUUCUGAAUCGUGAGAUUUUAAGCAGGUGCUUGGUAAACAAACAUAGAAUUAGGGUUUUGAAGUGUUUAUUUGGGAACUUAAGGGAUCUUUGUGCUUAGAAAACAAACUAGAUUUUAUCCAAGAACCGUUAGUUCUGUUUCAACUAUUAUCUGAAUUUUUAUUUUUUGCAUUAUUUUACUCAUGGGCUUUGUCAUUCCCUAUCUUGUUCAUUCAGUUUGUUUUUCUUUACUUGUAUAUGUUUAAAAAAACACUAUUGGCUGAAUGGCGGAGAGUGCCGUAAUUUAAACUAAAGUCAUUUCGUUUGGAUUUGUUGUUUUACAAGUCCAAAAAGCUAGAUUUCUGCAGGGAAACUAUUUCAUAUAAAAUUAACCCAACUUGUUGUGGGAAUUGCAAAUACUGAUUUCCAUGUUGGUUUGGUGUAGGCAAUUGUUGUCAGAUAUUCUUUGUGGUUAUAAUACUUGAGGCCAUGCCUGCUACAAAGUAGGUUGCUUUACAUUUUUCUGCCUGCUAUAGGUUUCUUUAAUUCUAGUAGUUCAGGGUUUUCUUUUUCCUUUUUUUUUAAUUGUUUUUCUUUUUGUUUGUUAAAAUUUUUGAGGUGCGUGCUAUGAAAUUUUGUCUACAUUGAAUAAUUUUGUUUCUUUAGAAGAAUAUUUCUCUUGUUGAAUAUAUACUAGUCAGUGUUUUUAUAAUGCAAUAGAAUAGUUUGAAUGUGAUCCUAUGGUGUCUGAGAUGUAUUGUAUUAAAAAAUCUCUCUUCUUUUUCCUGCUCUAAUGGUUCUGAAUUUUUGUUUUAAACUUUAGUGGAUUUACUUUUUACAGUUUUUCUUGGGAUUUGCAAUAUUGAAAGUGCUUCGAUUAGAUACUUAUUUUUGUUUUUCCUUGUCAUUGUUAAGAAGAACUUAUCUGGCUGUGUAAGAGUUACAACGUUUACUUGUAUUAAUCUUAGUCAGUACAUUGUGGUUCUGUACAUUUUCUACUGUGAUAUCUAAUUUUCUAUUGGAUUUUUAUGCUAUUAAAUUGAUUGUUUAUUAAAACCUUUUGUUGUACUAACUUGUAUUAAGGUUUUUAAUCUUUUAUAUAAGUAUGGAUAUGUUUAUUAACCUUUAGACUUUCUCGUUGACCUUCCUGUUUCUUAUAUAGUUUUUUGAUCAAAUGUCAAGAAAGCUUGUGAUCUGGUUUUCGGUUAUUCUAUUCUGUAGAAUUUUUUCAAGAUAUGUUGAAUUUUCUUAUUGGAUUUUCCCCUUUACCAGAGUUCUGAUUGCAGUCACAUUGGCUAUGCAUUAAACAAGUUGAUGAAGCAAAUUGGACAUCCGGAUGAGUUUGAACUGCCAGAUUGCUUUAAUAAUUGACUUUCUGUUCCUUGUGUAGAGAUGGAUGAAUUUGCUUUAGGAUCUUAUUGGUCAUAGUCAUGGAGAAGCUGAAACUUUCGUAGCAAUUUCAGAAGAG
This 14143-nucleotide long non-coding RNA is filed under the name Gossypium barbadense (sea-island cotton). RNAcentral describes it as "long non-coding RNA (GBAR_LNC008193)". The stretch from base 12486 to 12573 matches the Rfam family "tRNA". The record is from RNAcentral. Lineage: Eukaryota; Viridiplantae; Streptophyta; Magnoliopsida; Malvales; Malvaceae.